RNAcentral lists this ribosomal RNA (497 nucleotides) under uncultured bacterium. RNAcentral's name for it is "partial 16S ribosomal RNA". It matches the Rfam family "Bacterial small subunit ribosomal RNA", at positions 28 to 507 of the family's 1533-position model. The record is from RNAcentral.
GACGAACGCUGGCGGCGUGCCUAAUACAUGCAAGUUGAGCGCUGAAGGUUGGUACUUGUACCAACUGGUUGAGCAGCGAACGGGUGAGUAACGCGUGGGGAAUCUGCCUUUGAGCGGGGGACAACAUUUGGAAACGAAUGCUAAUACCGCAUAAAAACUUUAAACACAAGUUUUAAGUUUGAAAGAUGCAAUUGCAUCACUCAAAGAUGAUCCCGCGUUGUAUUAGCUAGUUGGUGGGGUAAAGGCUCACCAAGGCGAUGAUACAUAGCCGACCUGAGAGGGUGAUCGGCCACAUUGGGACUGAGACACGGCCCAAACUCCUACGGGAGGCAGCAGGAGGGAAUCUUCGGCAAGGGACGAAAGUCUGACCGAGCAACGCAGCGUGAGUGAAGAAGGUUUUCGGAUCGUAAAACUCUGUUGGUAGAGAAGAACGUUGGUGAGAGUGGAAAGCUCAUCAAGUGACGGUAACUACCCAGAAAGGGACGGCUAACUACGUG